AUGUUGCUCGUCCUCGAUCGUUAUUGACAUCUCGUCCACUGCUCUCGUCGUCUUUUCGGCUAUGAGUCUCGUUACUUCCCGAUCCACCUCCACAUAGACGGCUCAAGAAACUUUCGUUAAUUGCUAUCUUAUAAGUAUUAAAUAUUCUAGGACAUAUUUUAUCUCUGUACAAGAGCUCCUAUUUUUCUUAUAGUAAGUAGCUUGGUUCUCUAAACAAGCAAAUACUAUAAGCUACUGAGAAACAAGUAAAAGUCUCUAGGAAAAACUUCCUCUGCAUAAUUUUCGGCCAUUUUCUGGGGAAAGUGAGACAAUUACCAGAGAUGAAGAGUCGUUUCGCAACUCCAUUUGAAGGCAUUGCAGAGGAUAUUCGAGGACGCGUUUCUUGCUACAAGCAGGAUUGGAUUGCUGGAAUUAGAUCUGGAAUAGGGAUAUUGGCUCCAACUACAUACAUAUUUUUCGCAUCUGCUCUUCCCGUGAUUGCUUUUGGAGAACAAUUGAACAAAGAUACGGAUGGGAGCCUGAGCACUGUGGAAACUUUAGCUUCUACAGCUAUUUGUGGAAUCAUUCAUUCAAUACUCGGCGGACAACCUCUUAUGAUACUAGGAGUUGCAGAACCUACUAUUAUUAUGUAUAGUUACCUCUACAAGUUUGCCAAAGGGAGAGAAGAAUUGGGACAGACCCUUUACUUGGCUUGGGCUGGAUGGGUUUGUGUUUGGACAGCUCUCAUGUUGUUUCUUCUAGCAAUAUUUAAUGCCUGCUCUAUCAUUAGUAAAUUUACAAGGAUUGCUGGGGAGACUUUUGGCAUGCUUAUCACCGUACUUUUCAUUCAAGAGGCAAUUAAGGGACUAGUGAGCGAGUUCCACAUUCCUAAAUCCGAUGACCCAAGUUCAGAGAAAAAUCAAUUCCAUUGGCUUUAUACAAAUGGCCUACUUGGAAUCAUAUUCACCUUUGGCCUUCUCUACACAGCCUUAAAAAGCAGGAAAGCAAGGUCAUGGUGGUAUGGCACAGGCUGGAUUAGAAGCUUCAUCGCGGACUAUGGAGUUCCUUUAAUGGUUCUUAUGUGGUCAGCUCUCUCAUUUAUCAUACCAAACAAAGUUCCAUCUGGAAUUCCCAGAACUCUCUAUAGUCCCCUUCCUUGGGAAUCUGCAUCUUUAUAUCACUGGACUGUAAUGAAGGAUAUGGGGAAGGUUCCUCCAGCAUACAUAUUUGCGGCCAUAAUACCAGCUGUGAUGAUAGCAGGACUCUAUUUUUUCGAUCACAGUGUUGCUUCUCAGAUGGCACAACAAAAGGAGUUCAACUUAAAGAAUCCUUCUGCUUAUCAUUAUGAUAUCUUACUCUUGGGAUUUAUGACUUUGCUAUGUGGUUUGAUUGGAUUGCCUCCUUCAAAUGGUGUCCUGCCACAAUCCCCUAUGCAUACUAAAAGUUUGGCUGUUCUUAAGAAACAGCUGAUUCGAAAGAAGAUGGUUGAAAGUGCGAAAGAGAGUAUCAGGAGAAAAGCUAGCAACUCUGAAAUCUAUGGCAACAUGCAAGCUGUAUUCAUAGAGAUAGAUAGUCCUCCUGUUAAUGCAGUAGCUAAAGAAUUGAAACACUUGAAAGAGGCAAUAAUGAAACGUGAAAUUGAAAAUGGAAAUGGGGAAAAGUCAAAUGGCAAAUUUGAUCCUGAGAAGCAUAUUGAUGCUUACUUGCCUGUUCGAGUCAAUGAACAAAGAGUGAGCAAUCUACUGCAGUCACUACUAGUAGCAGCAUCAGUAGGUGCUAUGCCAGUAAUAAAGAAGAUACCAACCUCAGUUCUUUGGGGAUAUUUUGCCUACAUGGCUAUUGACAGCUUGCCAGGAAAUCAACUAUGGGAAAGAAUCUUGCUUCUCUUCAUCACCCCUGGCAGGAGGUUUAAGGUUCUUGAAGGGGUACAUGCAUCUUUUGUGGAGUCAGUACAAUUCAGAUACAUUGCAAUUUUCACAGUAUUCCAACUUGUAUAUUUACUUGUGGUCUUUGGAGUCACUUGGAUACCCAUAGCUGGCAUUCUAUUCCCAUUGCCAUUUUUUCUCCUCAUAAGCAUAAGGCAACAUUUGCUUCCCAAAUUGCUCCAGCCUCAUCAUUUGCAAGAGCUCGAUGCAGCUGAGUAUGAAGAAAUUGUUGGUGCCCCUCAACGUGCACUUAGCUUCUCUUUCAAGGAAACGGAGGCAACUCUUCCUGGAACUGAAGAAGGCAAAAUAGAAAUUUGUGAUGCUGAGAUCUUGGAUGAACUUACAACCAGCAGAGGAGAGUUGAAAUUCAGGACUGUCAGCUUCAGCGAGGAUAAACGCCAACGGGUACCUUGACAAUGAAUUUCAUAAUUACACUCAACGGGGUAUAACCUCACAUGUGCACUCAAUUCUUUUUCAUGAGCCAAACAUAUGCUGAUAGCAUGUCAAAUCACGUGACCAUCUCAUCUUAAAUUGUUAGAGAUAGUUGAUGGAGAUGACUUUGAGUUAAGAACAUAUUUUGGAGCUAAAAUGGAUAAUUUGAAGUUUUGAAAUCUGAGUAAAAGCCCAGAAUUGAACAGUGAUUGCAUUCGGAGAUCUAGGACCGAAUAUGAAUAAAAAAUUAUAAAAGAAAAUAAUGUCAACUGGUGAAAUAAAGCUGCCACGUCAAAUAAUGUUCUCCACCUUAUGAAUUUUUGCUAAUGUACAUCAAAUGUAAAGAAUUUUAAUUUGGCCACUGGUGUGUUUGGGCACGUGACACGAGGUGACAAGUCAAGGAAUCAGCAAGCAAUUUUGGUUAACAUUCUGAACUUACCCACGUAGACGCAGGGUGCGAUGCACCGGUGGUUUUUCCGCCCAGUUUUCCCACUUCGACUCAGAAAGGGUAGUUCGGUCCAAGGUCAUUCCUACACUGUAUAAAUACAGUGUAAACAUAUUUUUGAUAAGGGGAUUCGACCUAGGAGAGUUUUAGAGAGCUGCCAUGGUUUGAAGACAAAGGAUUUCAUCAAUUCUCUUGCCAACAAUCAGUGCAAAAUGAGAGUUUGUAUUGUAAAGUUGUCUUUGAUGUUUUUUAUGCAAUUAAACUUAUUUA
Nicotiana tabacum (common tobacco) is the source of this 3051-nucleotide non-coding RNA. Lineage: Eukaryota; Viridiplantae; Streptophyta; Magnoliopsida; Solanales; Solanaceae. The record is from RefSeq and is a predicted model, not a curated record.